ACGCAAAUCACAUGACCAUAUGAACACAUGAAUUGAUUUCUGAACUGAAUCUUUGGUCUUUUGAAUUGAAAGUUUGUGAGAAUUGAUUUCUGAACUUAUGAACACGUGAAGUUGUGGUCUUUUUUAUAAUUUCGUUAGAACUUUCAUCGCUUAUUGUUUUUUUUAAACCACUUGUUGUUGAGCCCAAAAUAAUGUAUGGGUGUGAGUGAGUUAUUAGGAUACCUAAAAUGUCAAUUCAUAAAUUAAUAUUAAGGGGACAUUUGCACCUAACACUUUGAACCAAAAACAAAAAAGAAUGAUGCAC
RNAcentral lists this long non-coding RNA (304 nucleotides) under Malus domestica (apple). RNAcentral describes it as "long non-coding RNA (MDOM_LNC010995)". The record is from RNAcentral. Lineage: Eukaryota; Viridiplantae; Streptophyta; Magnoliopsida; Rosales; Rosaceae.